RNAcentral lists this ribosomal RNA (156 nucleotides) under uncultured Bacillota bacterium. RNAcentral describes it as "uncultured Firmicutes bacterium partial 16S ribosomal RNA". It matches the Rfam family "Bacterial small subunit ribosomal RNA", at positions 367 to 514 of the family's 1533-position model. The record is from RNAcentral. Lineage: Bacteria; Bacillati; Bacillota.
CGCAAUGGACGAAAGUCUGACGGAGCAACGCCGCGUGAGUGAUGAAGGUUUUCGGAUCGUAAAGCUCUGUUGUUAGGGAAGAACAAGUACCGUUCAAAUAGGGCGGUACCUUGACGGUACCUAACCAGAAAGCCACGGCUAACUACGUGCCAGCAG